AACGAACGCUGGCGGCGUGGAUAAGACAUGCAAGUCGAGCGGAUUUGUCUUGGUAGCAAUAUCAAGGCAGGUCAGUGGCGCAAGGGUGCGUAACACGUGGGCAAUCUGCCCUGGGGUGUGGGAUAGCCCGCCGAAAGGCGGAUUAAUACCGCAUGUGGCUACUCAACGAUUGUUGGGGACGCUAAAGGAGGUGUCAAAGCUUCCGCCCGGAC
This 212-nucleotide ribosomal RNA is filed under the name uncultured bacterium. Its description in RNAcentral is "partial 16S ribosomal RNA". It matches the Rfam family "Bacterial small subunit ribosomal RNA", at positions 29 to 226 of the family's 1533-position model. The record is from RNAcentral.